RNAcentral lists this long non-coding RNA (612 nucleotides) under Oryctolagus cuniculus (rabbit). Its description in RNAcentral is "lncRNA (ENSOCUG00000035519.1)". The record is from RNAcentral. Lineage: Eukaryota; Metazoa; Chordata; Mammalia; Lagomorpha; Leporidae.
AUGGCUGCUCCCGGAGUGACAGCGCGGCUUUCUGGCUUGGAAGGCGGGACCGCUACUCUUUUGCGAUCCGCGGAGGGCUGCCGUGGGCAUCUUCAGCCCCUUUGGAGCCCUGCUUCCCGGCUGCGGGCUUCAGAGGCGAAUUUUUACACUUUGUUGAGUGCAUCGCGACUUCCCGCGCCUGAGGAGCCUGGCCGGAGCCUGCAGCGAGGGCAUACCCAGGGCAAUGCCCCGAUCCCCUCUCACUGGGCUUCACCUCUUCAAGAUUCUUCAAGAUUACAUCAGCUCACAUUGCCACACUGAGGACCAAACUUCCUCGGGUCCAAAGAAGGUGAGCUGAUGGCAGGUGAAGCUGAUGCCAUUCCUAAGAAUCCUGGGAUGAUGUCACAUAAGCAAAGAAGUGGCUCUACUCUAACUGACGUCACAGCCAUUUACUUGACUACUGGACUUCUGUUCCUUUGAGAGCCUAAAUCAUUCCUAAAGUCAUAGCACAAAAGGUUGGAGUGUGGGUGGGAGAGAGGAUAGGGUGGGAAGUAUCACUAUAUUCCUAAAUCUGUAUAUAUGAAAUAUAUGAAACUUAUGUAAUCGAAAUAAAAUUUUAAAAAAUUCAUAGCA